This 374-nucleotide ribosomal RNA is filed under the name uncultured eukaryote. RNAcentral's name for it is "partial 18S ribosomal RNA". It matches the Rfam family "Eukaryotic small subunit ribosomal RNA", at positions 592 to 976 of the family's 1831-position model. The record is from RNAcentral.
CAAUAGCGUAUAUUUAAGUUGUUGCAGUUAAAAAGCUCGUAGUUGGAUUUCUGCUGAUCGCUGUCGGUCUGCCGUCAGGUGUGUACUGGCAGUGUUUGGCAUCUAUUCGAGGUUGGGUGUCCACUUGAUUGUGUGCACUCGAUGUCGGAGCUAAUACUUUGAGAAAAUUAGAGUGUUCCACGCAGGCGCGUGCCUUGAAUACUGCAGCAUGGGAUAUUGGAAGGCCGAUUGAGCUUUCUUGUUGGUUCUCGGUUUGAUCGGAAUGAUUAAUAGGGAUAGUUGGGGGCAUUCGUAUUCAACUGUCAGAGGUGAAAUUCUUGGAUUUGUUGAAGACGGACUACUGCGAAAGCAUCUGCCAUGGAUGUUCUCAUUGA